RNAcentral lists this small RNA (520 nucleotides) under uncultured Glomus. RNAcentral describes it as "SSU rRNA". It matches the Rfam family "Eukaryotic small subunit ribosomal RNA", at positions 569 to 1090 of the family's 1831-position model. The record is from RNAcentral. Lineage: Eukaryota; Fungi; Glomeromycota; Glomeromycetes; Glomerales; Glomeraceae.
AGCAGCCGCGGUAAUUCCAGCUCCAAUAGCGUAUAUUAAAGUUGUUGCAGUUAAAAAGCUCGUAGUUGAAUUUCGGGAUCAAUACGUCUGUCGUGCCUUUGGUACGUACGGGUGUAAUUGGUUUCUACCUUCUGAGGGUCCUUGAUGUCAUUAAUUUGGUGUCUUGGGGGAAUCAGGACUGUUACCUUGAAAAAUUAGAGUGUUUAAAGCAGGCAUACGCUUGAAUACAUUAGCAUGGAAUAAUGAAAUAGGACGUUCGAUUCUAUUUUGUUGGUUUCUAGGAUCGACGUAAUGAUUAAUAGGGAUAGUUGGGGGCAUUAGUAUUCAAUUGUCAGAGGUGAAAUUCUUGGAUUUAUUGAAGACUAACUACUGCGAAAGCAUUUGCCAAGGAUGUUUUCAUUAAUCAAGAACGAAAGUUAGGGGAUCGAAGACGAUCAGAUACCGUCGUAGUCUUAACCAUAAACUAUGCCGACUAGGGAUCGGAUGAUGUUAAUUUUUUAAUGACUCAUUUGGCGCCUUA